UACGUAGGGUGCGAGCGUUAAUCGGAUUUACUGGGCGUAAAGCGUGCGCAGGCGGCCCGUUAAGACAGGUGUGAAAUCCCUGGGCUCAACCUAGGAAUUGCGCUUGUGACUGGCGGGCUCGAGUACGGUAGAGGGGGGUGGAAUUCCUGGUGUAGCAGUGAAAUGCGUAGAGACCAGGAGGAACACCGAUGGCGAAGGCAGCCCCCUGGGCCUGUACUGACGCUCAUGCACGAAAGCGUGGGGAGCAAACAGG
RNAcentral lists this ribosomal RNA (253 nucleotides) under uncultured microorganism. RNAcentral describes it as "partial 16S ribosomal RNA". It matches the Rfam family "Bacterial small subunit ribosomal RNA", at positions 524 to 776 of the family's 1533-position model. The record is from RNAcentral.